Octopus bimaculoides (California two-spot octopus) is the source of this 1432-nucleotide long non-coding RNA. RefSeq lists it as uncharacterized. The record is from RefSeq and is a predicted model, not a curated record. NCBI's taxonomy places the organism in Eukaryota, Metazoa, Mollusca, Cephalopoda, Octopoda, Octopodidae.
GUCUCUUGUUCCAGACGUCAAACAACAAAUAAUGAACGUGAAAUACUCAGACGGCAUUGCAUUACAGCCAUGCUGGAACACCAUUUUCAAGAGUCUUCUGUAAGUCGAUGAUAUCGACCGCAGUAAUUUUUUAAUGGAUCUCUAAGAUGCAUUUGUCAUGCAAGUCAAAACAUUGCUUUAGAACAGUAAACAUAAAAAUAGGCCCGUAGAAACAGCCAUAUUUUUACACACACGCGUGCAUCCCCACCACACAAAUAUAUUUAUUAUAUGUUGGACGAUUGCGAACUUUCGGAUUUACAACUUUGAUUCAUAAACCAUUGGUCAACUUGAAACAAUAGUAGAACAGAAUUUCUCAAGCUGACAAGCAGUACGAUGCAGUCCAGGAGUGCGUAGUUACGAAGCAUAUCUCUAUAACAACACAUAAUCAGAGAGUACAGAUAUAAUAUUGGUUGUUUCAAGUAUUGGUAUAAGGCCAGCAGGAUUGCAGGAGGGGUACAUCGGCUCCCAAGUGUUCAACUGGUAUUUAUAUUAUCGACUCUGAAAGGAUGGAAGACAAGGUCGGCCUCAGCGGAAUUUGAACGAAGAACGUAAAUACAAAGGAUGUGCCGCCGCUUGAGAAACGGUGUGGGAGUGCUUACGUUCGCGUGACUCAACGGCAAAUGUGCCCGAUAGAAUAAGUACCAGACUUUUAAAUAAGCUCUUCGAGUCGAAUUGUUCAACUAAAACCCUUCAAAUACUUGCCCCAGCAUGGCCGCAGUUCAAUGAAUGAAUCAAGUAAAAGAUAACAGAUGGAAACAACACACUUGGUAUGUAUGGUUGUUGUUGCUGUCGUUUCAUCUCAGGUCAAACUCUGUCCAGUAGAGCUUCAAUGAAAUGCAGUUGUAAAUGGUCCGACUGUUUUUCUCUUUUUUAUUUAUUAUUUUUGGGCUUUAUGAAUCUAAGAUUACAAUUACAUGUCCUUAAUGCGUGUAAGGGAGAUUUGGCUGCUGCUUCGAAAAGAUUGAGAGACCGCGUUGAUUUGAUACAUACGUGUAUUGAUAGCCUCUCGUUUAUACUGACCAAACAUUCAUUAGCUCAUGCUCUCCACCAAAUCCACGUGGCCUGAACUGGUGCACGGUGCACCACACGUCAGGUGUCGACUUAAUCGCAGAGAAACGUGACAUGAAAUGUUGUGUUUAAGAACAUACAGCACCACCCUGUCUAGGAAUUGAAAUCACUAUCACGAGAUCGUGGCUGUUAGUUCAAUACUCUAACCACUAGGUGAUGCACCCUUCACAGACAUACGUGUAAUGUGAAGAUUAUUUAACAUUUUUAGACUGAAAAUGAUAAGAAAGUGAAACAACGGCAAAAAGAAAAUUAAAUUCUUGUGAAUGACGUCAUUUAUAUAAAGAAAACUGCAGGUUCUGAAAUAAAAGACUUCAUGAUUCGAAAA